Long non-coding RNA from Myzus persicae (green peach aphid), 978 nucleotides. RefSeq lists it as uncharacterized. The transcript has 2 exons. The record is from RefSeq and is a predicted model, not a curated record. NCBI's taxonomy places the organism in Eukaryota, Metazoa, Arthropoda, Insecta, Hemiptera, Aphididae.
AUCGCACUGCACAGCCGCCAGUAUGGCGCCGUCGUUGUUCUGGCACUGCACCUGCCGAUGUUGGUGUCCUUUGCCACACGUGACGUUGCACUGUACGGACGUGCAAACAAACAACAGGAAUAGUGGGAGAUUGUCGAACUGCACCAGGUAAACUUAUGCCUAAACCAAAAUGUUCGAAUUGCAUUCGAUGCGAAAGUUGACGUUAUCACACGAAGUAACUAAUUUAGAAAUAAUCGUAACAACUUAUUUUUAAAUAGUACUUUUUAUAUGCAAGUAUAACUAUUAAUGUAAUAAGUAAAUUGUAGAUGUAUUAUUUAUAAUUAUAAAAAACUCAUUUUUAUAUUAUUGUUUUUAAAUUAUUAUUGAUUUGCAUAACUUUUAUAAUAAUAACAAUACAUUUAGAUACCUAUAAAAUGUGCAAAUAAUUCUCCCGACUGAUAUUCGUUAAUUAAUUCGUUUUACAUUGUAAAUAUUGGAGUUAGUGCAAUUCAAACAUAUCCUUUUAUAAACUCAAGUGUAAUAUAUUUGAACAUUGCCUUUUUCCGUCCCGAUUGCAAUUCGACAAAAAUAAGUGCAAUUCGACCUUCCCGAAUAAUGAUGAUAUGACUUGUAAUGCGACAACGUGUCGCCAACAAUUAUAUUAUUAUUUAUUUAUUACAUUAUAUAGUUCGUUAAGUCCCACGUUUCUUUUGGAUACGACAACUGAGCCCGUACCUUAUUUUUGUAUUACGUAACUAUUAUUCUGACAAAUUGAAUUUAAAUUUGGAAGAAACGAUUAAAUUUUUGAACUCUUAACGUUAAUAUCAAUUAGAAUUGUAACAAAUUCCUACUAAGGUUUGAUAAUAAUUAUUAUGAUAACAGACUUUCAUAUUUUCUGGCGAAUAACAUUAUCACAUUAACUGGUACCUAUACUAUAUUUUAGUAACCUACAAUUUUAAACUGUGACUUUUUUUUUUAAUAAAUUUUUUUUAAAUAUUA